Molecule: ribosomal RNA, 496 nt
Filed under: uncultured bacterium
Lineage: Bacteria
Description: bacterial SSU rRNA
Rfam family: Bacterial small subunit ribosomal RNA
Source: RNAcentral
AAUCAACGCUGGCGGCGUGCCUAACACAUGCAAGUCGAACGAGAAAGUGACUUCGGUCACUGGAUAGUGGCGUCCGGGUGAGUAACACGUGGGUAAUCUACCCUCGGGUGGGGAAUAACGUCUCGAAAGAGACGCUAAUACCGCAUAAUGCAGCGGCACCUAAUGGUGAAUAGUUGUUAAAGCGGGGGAUCGCAAGACCUCGCGCCUGAAGAGGAGCCUGCGGCAGAUUAGCUAGUUGGUGAGGUAAUGGCUCACCAAGGCUUCGAUCUGUAGCUGGUCUGAGAGGACGGCCAGCCACACUGGCACUGACACACGGGCCAGACUCCUACGGGAGGCAGCAGUGGGGAAUUUUGGGCAAUGGACGAAAGUCUGACCCAGCAACGCCGCGUGAGGGAGGAAAUCCUUCGGGAUGUAAACCUCGCAAGCAAGGGAAGAAUGCUUGAGACCUAACACGUCUCAAGAGGACGGUACCUUGCGUAAGCCACGGCUAACUACG